GAUGAAGAACGUAGUGAAAUGCGAUAAGUAAUGUGAAUUGCAGAAUUCAGUGAAUCAUCGAAUCUUUGAACGCACCUUGCGCCUUUUGGUAUUCCGAAAGGCACACCUGUUUGAGCGUCAUGAAUACCUCAAUCUCCAUCUUUUCUUCGGAUUGAUGGGUGACUUGGAUGUUGAGCCCUGCUGGUAUGCUAUAUCAGCUGGCUUUAAACUUAUUAGCCGGCUCUGUACUGGAUCGGUUUGACUCGACGUGAUAAUAUUAUCGUUGAGGAUGCAUGUCUCAUGCAGCCGGAAAGUAUCAAAGCAGCUUCUAGCUUGCCUUUAGUGCACUUUUACAUUUUAGACCUCAGAUCAGGUGGGACUACCCGCUGAACUUAAGCAUAUCAAAAGCGGAGGA
This 394-nucleotide unclassified non-coding RNA is filed under the name soil metagenome. Its description in RNAcentral is "partial contains 5.8S ribosomal RNA, internal transcribed spacer 2, and large subunit ribosomal RNA". The stretch from base 1 to 120 matches the Rfam family "5.8S ribosomal RNA", at positions 35 to 154 of the family's 154-position model. The record is from RNAcentral.